Molecule: non-coding RNA, 210 nt
Filed under: Marinobacter sp.
Lineage: Bacteria; Pseudomonadati; Pseudomonadota; Gammaproteobacteria; Pseudomonadales; Marinobacteraceae
Also listed under: 1 other name
Source: RNAcentral
GCCUUGCGUUCGUUUUCAGGUGUUGUUCGAGCGCUAUCAUCAUCGCGACAACAGUGAAACGGGAAGCCGGUUAAAGUCCGGCACUGCCCCCGCAACGGUAAGUGAGUGAACGGCUAAGAAAGGUGCCACUGUGCGAACGCAUGGGAAGGCUUGCGCCGUUCAGUAAUACAGCUCACAAGUCCGGAGACCGGCCUGUCAACACACCGAACG